Non-coding RNA from Streptomyces cellostaticus, 75 nucleotides. It matches the Rfam family "ASpks TB sRNA". Lineage: Bacteria; Bacillati; Actinomycetota; Actinomycetes; Kitasatosporales; Streptomycetaceae. The record is from Rfam.
CUUUACCGAACCCAGCCACAACGGCCCGUCUCCGGCGCGCUCCUGGCCGUAGGUGGCAAGCAGGGCCUGUGCCUC